AACGCUAGCUACAGGCUUAACACAUGCAAGUCGAGGGGCAGCAUUAUCGAAGCUUGCUUUGAUAGAUGGCGACCGGCGCACGGGUGAGUAACGCGUAUCCAACCUUCCCCAUAGUCAGGAAUAGCCCGGCGAAAGUCGAAUUAAUGCCUGAUGUUUUCCACGGACGGCAUCUGAUGUGGAACAAAGAUUCAUCGCUAUGGGAUGGGGAUGCGUCUGAUUAGCUUGUUGGCGGGGUAACGGCCCACCAAGGCAACGAUCAGUAGGGGUUCUGAGAGGAAGGUCCCCCACAUUGGAACUGAGACACGGUCCAAACUCCUACGGGAGGCAGCAGUGAGGAAUAUUGGUCAAUAGGCGAGAGCCUGAACCAGCCAAGUAGCGUGAAGGAUGAAGGUCCUAUGGAUUGUAAACUUCUUUUAUAGUAGAAUAAAGUGAUCCACGUGUGGAUUUUUGUAUGUAUACUAUGAAUAAGGAUCGGCUAACUCCGUGCCAGCAGCCGCGGUAAUACGGAGGAUCCGAGCGUUAUCCGGAUUUAUUGGGUUUAAAGGGUGCGUAGGCGGAAAAAUAAGUCAGUUGUGAAAGUUUGCGGCUCAACCGUAAAAUUGCAGUUGAUACUGUCUUUCUUGAGUGUACAUAAGGUAGGCGGAAUUCGUGGUGUAGCGGUGAAAUGCUUAGAUAUCACGAAGAACUCCGAUUG
RNAcentral lists this ribosomal RNA (694 nucleotides) under uncultured bacterium. Its description in RNAcentral is "bacterial SSU rRNA". It matches the Rfam family "Bacterial small subunit ribosomal RNA", at positions 32 to 715 of the family's 1533-position model. The record is from RNAcentral.